UGAGGAAUAUUGGGCAAUGCCCGAAAGGGUGACCCAGCAACGCCGCGUGGAGGAUGAAGGUCGUAAGAUUGUAAACUCCUGUUAGAGGGGAAGAAUAACUAAGCUUGGAGCUUGGUAUGACUGUACCCUCAGAGAAAGCCCCGGCUAACUACGUGCCAGCAGCCGCGGUAAUACGUAGGGGGCAAGCGUUGUCCGGAUUUACUGGGUGUAAAGGGCGCGCAGGCGGAAUGGAAAGUCAGUGGUGAAAUCCUACAGCUUAACUGUAGAACUGCCUUUGAUACUUUCAUGCUUGAGUUCGGGAGAGAGAGACGGAAUUCCAGGUGUAGUGGUGAAAUACGUAGAUAUCUGGAAGAACACCAGUUGCGAAGGCGGUCUCUUGGUCCGAUACUGACGCUGAGGCGCGAAAGCGUGGGGAGCAAACAG
Molecule: ribosomal RNA, 423 nt
Filed under: uncultured bacterium
Lineage: Bacteria
Description: bacterial SSU rRNA
Rfam family: Bacterial small subunit ribosomal RNA
Source: RNAcentral